RNA transcript from Populus euphratica (Euphrates poplar), 2264 nucleotides. It is a transcript of the gene named eukaryotic initiation factor 4A-3, with no coding region annotated. The transcript has 9 exons. NCBI's taxonomy places the organism in Eukaryota, Viridiplantae, Streptophyta, Magnoliopsida, Malpighiales, Salicaceae. The record is from RefSeq and is a predicted model, not a curated record.
AUAAUCCUCUUAAUUCACAUCUCUCCUUAGCUCGAGAAAAAAUCACCUCUAAAAUAAUCAGCGGCAAUGCCCACAAGCGUAGUACCGGCUGGGCGGAGCGCAAGGAGGGCUGCGGCGGAGGAUGAAAAGUUAGUGUUUGAAACCACGGAGGGAAUAGAACCUGUUGCAAGUUUCGAUGAGAUGGGAUUGAAAGAAGAUGUACUGAGAGGAAUUUAUAAUUAUGGAUAUGAAAAGCCAUCAGCGAUACAACAAAGAGCUUUAAUGCCAAUAAUUAAAGGGCGUGAUGUUAUAGCACAAGCUCAAUCUGGUACUGGAAAGACCUCUAUGAUUGCCCUUACUGCUUGUCAGCUUGUUGAUACUGCUAACAGAGAGGUCCAGGCACUGAUAUUGUCACCAACAAGGGAACUGGCAGAACAGACAGAGAAAGUGAUAACGGCAAUUGGUGAAAACAUUAAUAUACAAGUACAUGCAUGCAUUGGAGGAAAAAGUGUGGGCGAGGAUAUUCGAAAACUAGAAUAUGGAGUUCAUGUUGUCUCUGGAACUCCAGGCAGAGUCUGUGACAUGAUCAAGAGAAGGUCAUUACGUACUAGAGCCAUCAGAGUACUAGUUCUUGAUGAAUCUGAUGAGAUUUUGAGCAGAGGGUUCAAGGAUCAAAUUUAUGAUGUUUACAGAUAUCUUCCACCCGAGCUUCAGGUUGUCCUGAUUUCUGCCACUCUUCCUAAUGAAAUUCUGGAGAUUACAAGCAAGUUCAUGACAGAUCCUGUAAAGAUUCUUGUGAAACGUGAUGAGUUGACUUUGGAGGGCAUCAAGCAAUUUUUUGUUGCUGUGGAAAAAGAAGAGUGGAAAUUUGAGACUCUGACUGACCUUUAUGAUACUCUUACCAUCACUCAAGCUGUUAUUUUCUGCAAUACAAAGCGGAAGGUUGAUUGGUUAACUGCCAAGAUGGUUGAAUUUAACUUUACUGUCUCAGCAAUGCAUGGUGACAUGCCUCAGAGGGAGAGAGAUGCAAUUAUGUCUAAUUUCCGUCUGGGUGAAACUCGUGUACUGAUCACAACUGAUGUUUGGGCUCGGCGGCUUGAUGUUCAACAAGUUUCUUUGGUGAUCAACUAUGACCUUCCAAACAAUCGAGAGCUUUACAUUCAUAGAAUUGGUCGUUCAGGCCGUUUCGGACGUAAGGGUGUUGCCAUUAAUUUUGUCAAAAGUGAUGAUAUCAGGAUUUUAAGAGAUAUUGAGCAGUAUUACAGCACCCAGAUUGAUGAAAUGCCUAUGAAUAUUGGUGAUCUGAUAUAAGACAUGCUGUGGUGGUUAUUAUUUGCUGCGGACAAUGUUCGUGUAUCAUGGAUGGCUUUUGUGUGCAUCGCUGCACUGUACACUUUUUUGGCGUUUAACAUGCGGCUGCUGACACAUACAGGCGCACAUAUACACACAAAAAUCAAACAAAAUCUAAAUCCCAAACAUCUCAAUGCUUCUGCUGCUCCUGCCCGCCACCCGAAAACAAAGGUAGAAAUCAAAUUAGGAAACGCAAAACUGUGUGAGUGAGCUUAACUUGGACAAAAAGGAAAGAAUGGCACCUUCGGGCACACAACUGCUGAAGUGAAGGUUUCAAGUCUCCAAACAGGUCAGGAGAGAAUAUAUGCAUGAAGCAGCGGGUUUGUAUUUUGGAUCUGGGAAUCAACAAGUGAAGAGGCCAAUUGUUCUGAGCGAUCAUGAAUUAGGAAAGAAAGAGCUUGAUAUAGAUUAGGUGAAGUGAACUUUCAACAUUUCAAAAAGGGAGCAUGGAGGAGAUUGAAUGAGAGAAGGGACCGAGUGGAGGAGAAACUGGAGAAAUUUCCAGUAUUCGUUCAUAAGAAAAGGAGGAUGAAAUUUCUAGUAUUUUCCUCUCCCUGGUGCUCUUUGUUUUGGGUUAAUUGAAGGUAAGGAAGAUGAUAAUGUCUAUAAAGGUUGGGAUAUGGUGGAGAUAGCACAAGAUCUAAUGGUAUGGUGUUGGUUUGUGUUUGAAAGGAUGGCUAUAGCAAUGUGGGUCUCUGGUUCGGUUGAAAUCUGGAAACAUUUCCAGACUUCUUUGUUGGUUCUCUGUUGUUGUUUCUUGUUUUUUUUUCUUGGUUCCCCUCAUUGGAAUUCCCUGAUGUCCACCAUUUUUUUAUAGGAGAGAAUAUGGAAUUAAUGCAAUAUUGAAUGAUUUCUGGGACUUGAUUAGAAUCUGGGUUUAUUUUGCAGGGAUUUGGGGUUUAAUUUGAAUCUUGGACUAGAUUGAAUCAAUUGGA